RNAcentral lists this unclassified non-coding RNA (405 nucleotides) under soil metagenome. RNAcentral describes it as "partial contains 5.8S ribosomal RNA, internal transcribed spacer 2, and large subunit ribosomal RNA". The stretch from base 1 to 121 matches the Rfam family "5.8S ribosomal RNA", at positions 35 to 154 of the family's 154-position model. The record is from RNAcentral.
GAUGAAGAACGUAGCGAAAUGCGAUAAGUAAUGUGAAUUGCAGAAUUCAGUGAAUCAUCGAAUCUUUGAACGCACCUUGCGCCCUUUGGCCAUUCCGAAGGGCAUGCCUGUUUGAGUAUCAUGAACACCUCAACUCUUUAUGGUUUUCCAUGAUGAGCUUGGACUCUGGGGGUUUUGCUGGCUCACAGUCGGCUCCUCUAAAAUGAAUCAGCUUACCAGUGUUUGGUGGGUAUCAUGGGUGUGAUAACUAUCUACGCUUGUGGUUUUUCCAACAGGUAACCUUCAGCAGUGGAGGUUCGCUGGAGCUCAUAGAUGUCUCUCCUCAGUGAGGACAGCCCUUUGAAUGUUUGAUCUCAAAUCAGGUAGGACUACCCGCUGAACUUAAGCAUAUCAAUAAGCGGAGGA